AUGAAGUUUCCAGUAAUAAUACCAAAUUUUAUUUAUAACUCUUUUUUCAAGUAUGUAUUAUCAAUGAUGGUGACAAACUAUUCUAGUCCAGCAGCAGAAAUGUCUUCAUACUUACCACAAGCCAUGAAAGAAAAGAAGAGUAACUCAGAAUUUACUCGUGAUAACGGAAAAAAAAAAUUGUACAUAAUCGGUUGA
This is a non-coding RNA of Vicia faba (fava bean), 195 nucleotides long. Lineage: Eukaryota; Viridiplantae; Streptophyta; Magnoliopsida; Fabales; Fabaceae. The record is from the annotation of a GenBank genome assembly.